Molecule: ribosomal RNA, 120 nt
Filed under: Eutypa lata UCREL1
Lineage: Eukaryota; Fungi; Ascomycota; Sordariomycetes; Xylariales; Diatrypaceae
Source: RNAcentral
ACAUACGACCAUAACAUCUAGAGAACUCGGGAUCCCGUCCGCUCUCCCCUAGAUAAGCUAGAUAGGGCCGGAUUAGUAGUUGGGUCGGUGACGACCAGCGAAUCCCUGGUGUUGUAUGUU